UACAGAGGUCCCAAGCGUUGUUCGGAUUUACUGGGCGUAAAGGGUGCGUAGGUGGUCGGGUAAGUCGGAUGUGAAAUUUCGGAGCUCAACUCCGAAACGGCAUUGGAUACUACCCGGCUCGAGGUUGGGAGGGGAGACUGGAAUUCUCGGUGUAGCAGUGAAAUGCGUAGAUAUCGAGAGGAACACCAGUGGCGAAGGCGAGUCUCUGGACCAAUCCUGACACUGAGGCACGAAAGCCAGGGGAGCAAACGGG
Molecule: ribosomal RNA, 253 nt
Filed under: uncultured bacterium
Lineage: Bacteria
Description: partial 16S ribosomal RNA
Rfam family: Bacterial small subunit ribosomal RNA
Source: RNAcentral